UACGUAGGGUGCAAGCGUUGUCCGGAAUUAUUGGGCGUAAAGAGCGUGUAGGCGGCCCGAUUAGUCCGCUGUGAAAGUCCAGGGCUCAACCCUGGAAUGCCGGUGGAUACUGUCGGGCUAGAGUCCGGAAGGGGCGAGUGGAAUUCCUGGUGUAGCGGUGAAAUGCGCAGAUAUCAGGAGGAACACCAAUGGCGAAGGCAGCUCGCUGGGACGUGACUGACGCUGAGAUGCGAAAGUGUGGGGAGCAAACGGG
Molecule: ribosomal RNA, 253 nt
Filed under: uncultured bacterium
Lineage: Bacteria
Description: partial 16S ribosomal RNA
Rfam family: Bacterial small subunit ribosomal RNA
Source: RNAcentral